UAUCCUGUCUGAAUAUGGGGGGACCAUCCUCCAAGGCUAAAUACUCCUGACUGACCGAUAGUGAACCAGUACCGUGAGGGAAAGGCGAAAAGAACCCCGGCGAGGGGAGUGAAAAAGAACCUGAAACCGUGUACGUACAAGCAGUGGGAGCACGCUUAGGCGUGUGACUGCGUACCUUUUGUAUAAUGGGUCAGCGACUUAUAUUCUGUAGCAAGGUUAACCGAAUAGGGGAGCCGAAGGGAAACCGAGUCUUAACUGGGCGUUAAGUUGCAGGGUAUAGACCCGAAACCCGGUGAUCUAGCCAUGGGCAGGUUGAAGGUUGGGUAACACUAACUGGAGGACCGAACCGACUAAUGUUGAAAAAUUAGCGGAUGACUUGUGGCUGGGGGUGAAAGGCCAAUCAAACCGGGAGAUAGCUGGUUCUCCCCGAAAGCUAUUUAGGUAGCGCCUCGUGAAUUCAUCUCCGGGGGUAGAGCACUGUUUCGGCAAGGGGGUCAUCCCGACUUACCAACCCGAUGCAAACUGCGAAUACCGGAGAAUGUUAUCACGGGAGACACACGGCGGGUGCUAACGUCCGUCGUGAAGAGGGAAACAACCCAGACCGCCAGCUAAGGUCCCAAAGUCAUGGUUAAGUGGGAAACGAUGUGGGAAGGCCCAGACAGCCAGGAUGUUGGCUUAGAAGCAGCCAUCAUUUAAAGAAAGCGUAAUAGCUCACUGGUCGAGUCGGCCUGCGCGGAAGAUGUAACGGGGCUAAACCAUGCACCGAAGCUGCGGCAGCGACGCUGAUGCGUUGUUGGGUAGGGGAGCGUUCUGUAAGCCUGCGAAGGUGUGCUGUGAGGCAUGCUGGAGGUAUCAGAAGUGCGAAUGCUGACAUAAGUAACGAUAAAGCGGGUGAAAAGCCCGCUCGCCGGAAGACCAAGGGUUCCUGUCCAACGUUAAUCGGGGCAGGGUGAGUCGACCCCUAAGGCGAGGCCGAAAGGCGUAGUCGAUGGGAAACAGGUUAAUAUUCCUGUACUUGGUGUUACUGCGAAGGGGGGACGGAGAAGGCUAUGUUGGCCGGGCGACGGUUGUCCCGGUUUAAGCGUGUAGGCUGGUUUUCCAGGCAAAUCCGGAAAAUCAAGGCUGAGGCGUGAUGACGAGGCACU
Molecule: ribosomal RNA, 1145 nt
Filed under: Escherichia coli
Lineage: Bacteria; Pseudomonadati; Pseudomonadota; Gammaproteobacteria; Enterobacterales; Enterobacteriaceae
Description: partial 23S ribosomal RNA
Rfam family: Bacterial large subunit ribosomal RNA
Source: RNAcentral